AACGAACGCUGGCGGCAUGCCUAACACAUGCAAGUCGAACGAACCCUUCGGGGUGAGUGGCGCACGGGUGCGUAACGCGUGGGAACCUGCCCUUAGGUUUGGAAUAACGUUUCGAAAGGAACGCUAAUACCAAAUAAUGUCUUCGGACCAAAGAUUUAUCGCCUUUGGAUGGGCCCGCGUAGGAUUAGCUAGUUGGUGAGGUAAAGGCUCACCAAGGCGACGAUCCUUAGCUGGUCUUAGAGGAUGAUCAGCCACACUGGGACUGAGACACGGCCCAGACUCCUACGGGAGGCAGCAGUGGGGAAUAUUGGACAAUGGGCGAAAGCCUGAUCCAGCAAUGCCGCGUGAGUGAUGAAGGCCUUAGGGUUGUAAAGCUCUUUUACCAGGGAUGAUAAUGACAGUAC
Molecule: ribosomal RNA, 404 nt
Filed under: Altererythrobacter sp. S117
Lineage: Bacteria; Pseudomonadati; Pseudomonadota; Alphaproteobacteria; Sphingomonadales; Erythrobacteraceae
Description: bacterial SSU rRNA
Rfam family: Bacterial small subunit ribosomal RNA
Source: RNAcentral